RNAcentral lists this ribosomal RNA (206 nucleotides) under uncultured bacterium. RNAcentral's name for it is "partial 16S ribosomal RNA". It matches the Rfam family "Bacterial small subunit ribosomal RNA", at positions 568 to 774 of the family's 1533-position model. The record is from RNAcentral.
CGCGUAGGCGGUCGAUCAAGUCAGGGGUGAAAUCCUGCAGCUUAACUGUAGAAGUGCCUUUGAUACUGGUCGUCUCGAGGGAGGUAGGGGUGUGUGGAACUUCCAGUGGAGCGGUGAAAUGCGUUGAUAUUGGAAGGAACGCCGGAGGCGAAAGCGACGCACUGGACCUCUUCUGACGCUGAGGCGCGAAAGCUAGGGAGCAAACG